Molecule: ribosomal RNA, 890 nt
Filed under: Alteromonas sp. N85(2010)
Lineage: Bacteria; Pseudomonadati; Pseudomonadota; Gammaproteobacteria; Alteromonadales; Alteromonadaceae
Description: bacterial SSU rRNA
Rfam family: Bacterial small subunit ribosomal RNA
Source: RNAcentral
UCGCUGACGAGUGGCGGACGGGUGAGUAAUGCUUGGGAACUUGCCUUUGCGAGGGGGAUAACAGUUGGAAACGACUGCUAAUACCGCAUAAUGUCUACGGACCAAACGGGGCUUCGGCUCCGGCGCAAAGAGAGGCCCAAGUGAGAUUAGCUAGUUGGUAAGGUAAAGGCUUACCAAGGCAACGAUCUCUAGCUGUUCUGAGAGGAAGAUCAGCCACACUGGAACUGAGACACGGUCCAGACUCCUACGGGAGGCAGCAGUGGGGAAUAUUGCACAAUGGGGGAAACCCUGAUGCAGCCAUGCCGCGUGUGUGAAGAAGGCCUUCGGGUUGUAAAGCACUUUCAGUUGUGAGGAAAAGUUAGUAGUUAAUACCUGCUAGCCGUGACGUUAACAACAGAAGAAGCACCGGCUAACUCCGUGCCAGCAGCCGCGGUAAUACGGAGGGUGCGAGCGUUAAUCGGAAUUACUGGGCGUAAAGCGCACGCAGGCGGUUUGUUAAGCUAGAUGUGAAAGCCCCGGGCUCAACCUGGGAUGGUCAUUUAGAACUGGCAGACUAGAGUCUUGGAGAGGGGAGUGGAAUUCCAGGUGUAGCGGUGAAAUGCGUAGAUAUCUGGAGGAACAUCAGUGGCGAAGGCGACUCCCUGGCCAAAGACUGACGCUCAUGUGCGAAAGUGUGGGUAGCGAACAGGAUUAGAUACCCUGGUAGUCCACACCGUAAACGCUGUCUACUAGCUGUUUGUGACUUUAAGUCGUGAGUAGCGAAGCUAACGCGCUAAGUAGACCGCCUGGGGAGUACGGCCGCAAGGUUAAAACUCAAAUGAAUUGACGGGGGCCCGCACAAGCGGUGGAGCAUGUGGUUUAAUUCGAUGCAACGCGAAGAACCUUACCUA